RNAcentral lists this ribosomal RNA (460 nucleotides) under uncultured bacterium. RNAcentral describes it as "partial 16S ribosomal RNA". It matches the Rfam family "Bacterial small subunit ribosomal RNA", at positions 338 to 795 of the family's 1533-position model. The record is from RNAcentral.
CCUACGGGUGGCAGCAGUGAGGAAUAUUGGUCAAUGGACGAGAGUCUGAACCAGCCAAGUAGCGUGAAGGAUGACUGCCCUAUGGGUUGUAAACCUCUUUUAUAUGGGAAUAAAAUGUUCCACGUGUGGGAUUUUGUAUGUACCAUAUGAAUAAGGAUCGGCUAACUCCGUGCCAGCAGCCGCGGUAAUACGGAGGAUCCGAGCGUUAUCCGGAUUUAUUGGGUUUAAAGGGAGCGUAGGUGGAUUGUUAAGUCAGUUGUGAAAGUUUGCGGCUCAACCGUAAAAUUGCAGUUGAAACUGGCAGUCUUGAGUACAGUAGAGGUGGGCGGAAUUCGUGGUGUAGCGGUGAAAUGCUUAGAUAUCACGAAGAACUCCGAUUGCGAAGGCAGUUCACUGGACUGCAACUGACACUGAGGCUCGAAAGUGUGGGUAUCAAACAGGAUUAGAUACCCUUGUAGUC